UGUUGGUAUGCUGGACCUAAAAACAAACAAACAAACAAAACUCUUCCCACUGGGUUUUUUUUCUGCUACCUUGCUAGCGUUCAGCCUAUUGGGAACAUUU
This is a small nucleolar RNA of Equus caballus (horse), 100 nucleotides long. The record is from Ensembl. Lineage: Eukaryota; Metazoa; Chordata; Mammalia; Perissodactyla; Equidae.